CCCCACCUCUCGUUCCCCGCGUCGCCGCCCUGGCGACACGGGCGGAAGACCCAAACCGCGCCGCCGGCUACCCUCCUCGUCGCUCUCCCUCCCCUCGCCGUCGCCGGAGGACACCGCCGAGCUAAGCUCGCGCGGCGGACGGCGGCGGCGGGGCCCUGUUCUCGCCUGGCGGCGGCAGAUCUCGGUGGGGGAGGCUCGGUCCACCUCGGCUACACUGCGCGGUAGUUCCAGCGACUGCUCGCAGCGGCGCUCAUCUCCGGCGAUUCGAAGGGGUUGGCGCCUCUUUCUUCUCCGC
RNAcentral lists this ribosomal RNA (295 nucleotides) under Triticum aestivum (bread wheat). Its description in RNAcentral is "partial small subunit ribosomal RNA". The record is from RNAcentral. Lineage: Eukaryota; Viridiplantae; Streptophyta; Magnoliopsida; Poales; Poaceae.